UACAGAGGUCUCAAGCGUUGUUCGGAUUUAUUGUGCGUAAAGGGCGCGUAGGCGGCGGGGUAAGUCGGGUGUGAAAUCUCAGGGCUCAACCCUGAAACUGCACUUGAUACUGCUCUGCUUGAGGACUGGAGAGGAGACUGGAAUUCACGGUGUAGCAGUGAAAUGCGUAGAUAUCGUGAGGAAGACCAGUGGCGAAGGCGGGUCUCUGGACAGUUCCUGACGCUGAGGCGCGAAGGCCAGGGGAGCAAACGGG
RNAcentral lists this ribosomal RNA (253 nucleotides) under uncultured bacterium. RNAcentral describes it as "partial 16S ribosomal RNA". It matches the Rfam family "Bacterial small subunit ribosomal RNA", at positions 524 to 776 of the family's 1533-position model. The record is from RNAcentral.